This 1389-nucleotide ribosomal RNA is filed under the name uncultured bacterium. RNAcentral's name for it is "16S ribosomal RNA". It matches the Rfam family "Bacterial small subunit ribosomal RNA". The record is from RNAcentral.
GGCGCACGGGUGCGUAACGCGUAUAGAAUCUGCCUUACACAGGGGGAUAGCCCAGAGAAAUUUGGAUUAAUACCCCAUAGUAUAUAAAAACCGCAUGGUUUUUAUAUUAAAGAUUUAUCGGUUAAAGAUGGCUAUGCGUCCCAUUAGCUAGUUGGUAUGGUAACGGCAUACCAAGGCGAUGAUGGGUAGGGGUCCUGAGAGGGAGAUCCCCCACACUGGUACUGAGACACGGACCAGACUCCUACGGGAGGCAGCAGUGAGGAAUAUUGGACAAUGGAGGCAACUCUGAUCCAGCCAUGCCGCGUGCAGGAAGACGGCCUUAUGGGUUGUAAACUGCUUUUGUACAGGAAGAAAAAGUCUUACGUGUAAGACAUUGACGGUACUGUAAGAAUAAGCAUCGGCUAACUCCGUGCCAGCAGCCGCGGUAAUACGGAGGAUGCGAGCGUUAUCCGGAAUCAUUGGGUUUAAAGGGUCCGUAGGCGGUUUAUUAAGUCAGUGGUGAAAGUUUGUGGCUCAACCAUAAAAUUGCCAUUGAUGCUGAUAAACUUGAAUGAGUGUGAAGUAACUAGAAUAUGUAGUGUAGCGGUGAAAUGCAUAGAUAUUACAUAGAAUACCGAUUGCGAAGGCAGGUUACUAACACUUGAUUGACGCUGAUGGACGAAAGCGUGGGGAGCGAACAGGAUUAGAUACCCUGGUAGUCCACGCCGUAAACGAUGGAUACUAGCUGUUUGGAAUUAUAUAUGAGUGGCUAAGCGAAAGUGAUAAGUAUCCCACCUGGGGAGUACGUUGGCAACAAUGAAACUCAAAGGAAUUGACGGGGGCCCGCACAAGCGGUGGAUUAUGUGGUUUAAUUCGAUGAUACGCGAGGAACCUUACCAAGACUUAAAUGUAUGCUGACAGGUUUAGAGAUAGACUUUUCUUCGGACAGUAUACAAGGUGCUGCAUGGUUGUCGUCAGCUCGUGCCGUGAGGUGUUAGGUUAAGUCCUGCAACGAGCGCAACCCCUAUCAUUAGUUGCUAACAUUGAGUUGAGGACUCUAAUGAGACUGCCUACGCAAGUAGAGAGGAAGGUGGGGAUGACGUCAAAUCAUCACGGCCCUUACGUCUUGGGCUACACACGUAAUACAAUGGUAGGUACAGAGGGCAGCUACACAGUGAUGUGAUGCAAAUCUCGAAAGCCUAUCUCAGUUCGGAUUGGAGUCUGCAACUCGACUCUAUGAAGCUGGAAUCGCUAGUAAUCGCGCAUCAGCCAUGGCGCGGUGAAUACGUUCCCGGGCCUUGUACACACCGCCCGUCAAGCCAUGGAAGCUGGGGGUACCUGAAGUCGGUGACCGCAAGGAGCUGCCUAGGGUAAAACUAGUAACUGGGGCUAAGUCGUAACAAGGUAGCC